This 274-nucleotide ribosomal RNA is filed under the name uncultured bacterium. Its description in RNAcentral is "partial 16S ribosomal RNA". It matches the Rfam family "Bacterial small subunit ribosomal RNA", at positions 523 to 796 of the family's 1533-position model. The record is from RNAcentral.
AUACGGAGGGUGCAAGCGUUAAUCGGAAUUACUGGGCGUAAAGGGCGCGUAGGCGGUCUAUCAAGUCAGGUGUGAAAUCCCACGGCUCAACCGUGGAGGUGCAUCUGAAACUGAUAGACUUGAGUAUGGGAGAGGAAAGUGGAAUUCCCGGUGUAGAGGUGAAAUUCGUAGAUAUCGGGAGGAACACCAGUGGCGAAGGCGACUUUCUGGACCAAUACUGACGCUGAGGCGUGAAAGCGUGGGGAGCAAACAGGAUUAGAAACCCUAGUAGUCC